This is a long non-coding RNA of Macrobrachium nipponense, 1278 nucleotides long. RefSeq lists it as uncharacterized. The record is from RefSeq and is a predicted model, not a curated record. The transcript has 2 exons. Lineage: Eukaryota; Metazoa; Arthropoda; Malacostraca; Decapoda; Palaemonidae.
ACUGUCGAGACUCGACAUUCCAAAUUCCUUCACAAGAGAGAAGAGAAGGGAAAAGUACCUCUUCCAGUGGAACCCCACCAUUUGUUAAUUUGUGCAGUUUACCGUCCUAUUUUACGUGAAAUACAUACAGUGAUUAAUGUUUAUCAUAGACUUACUGUUGGUGCUUCUGCUUGAAAUAUGGACUAACAGACAUCUGUUUGAAGUACAUCAAGCACACAGAAGGGGAAGACUACCACAGUAGAGAAGGAGGCUACUUGGAGGUAUAUAGUGGAAUACAUUAGUUCUCUCUCCAUAUUUCCGACCUUUACUGAUAAUGCUUGAAAUCUGAACUACUACUGUUGAAAGGGGAGGUCAGAAUUAUAUCAGGCAAAGGAACUGGUAAGUCUAUGAGUAGGAGAUAGGUGUAUGUCGAGUUAUUAAGUAUAUAUCCCAUCCCCUACUCUUUCCUGCAUUUGUUGUGGUUCUGACCUCUUUGAAUGGAUGUGUAGUUCCAUAUUUCAUGCGUUAUCAGUAAAGGUUUGAAAUUUUGUAGGUAGAAUUAUGUUCUAAUAUAAACCUCCCUCACAAGCAAAAACCACCGUCCAAGAUAUGAAUAGUCAUCACUGAGCAUAAAAGUAGUUUUAGUCACUUUUGCACAAUAACCUUUAAAUAAACAACAGAUACCUGUACAUGUUAACUUAUGCUCAACUAUAGGGUAUGAAUACCAUUUUAACAAUAAAUAUCCUAUAAUUCAGUUCUUGCAUUCAUGUAUGUCAACAUCCUUAAGUAUCCAUGUGGUAAAUGUUGUCUCCUCUCUAUAUCCUCCAACAUGCUGAUGCUUUAGUUGUCUCCUCUCUGAUAAACCUAAGUAGCUCUGAUAGUCUGCUUUCCAUUCUGAUGGAAUAGUAUACUAUAAGUCCUCAAGUAGCAGUCUCCUCAGUUUUGACAGAUGUCAAUUCCACUACAUCAUUAUCACUGCUUUGUUCCUCCCCGAAAUAUAUCUGGAAGUUAGGAGAUAUCUUCGUCCCUCAUCUUUUUCUUCGUAGUCUUUCCAUAUCUGUUGAUGGAGCUCACGUCAUCGUCUUUCCCAACAUACCACAAGAGAUCUGUAAUACACAGACAAACUCACUAAAUAUCCUUGAAUAAAGCAUUGUAUAUAGUACUCGCAUUCUAGAUAACCUAAGAUAAUUAUGUUCGGUUCAUUUUAAUGAGAAUUACUUGGAUCUUAUAUCAGUUCCAAGAUAGAUCUAAUACCUGUAAAAUGUCUUUGUUCUUGCUAAUUAAAAUUCUAUGAAAUUU